RNAcentral lists this ribosomal RNA (492 nucleotides) under uncultured bacterium. RNAcentral's name for it is "partial 16S ribosomal RNA". It matches the Rfam family "Bacterial small subunit ribosomal RNA", at positions 29 to 507 of the family's 1533-position model. The record is from RNAcentral.
AGUGUACGCUGGCGGUAGGCCUAACACAUGCAAGUCGAACGGCAGCACAGUAAGAGCUUGCUCUUACGGGUGGCGAGUGGCGGACGGGUGAGGAAUACAUCGGAAUCUACUUUUUCGGGGGGGAUAACGUAGGGAAACUUACGCUAAUACCGCAUACGACCUACGGGUGAAAGCAGGGGUUCUUCGGACCUUGCGCGAUUGAAUGAGCCGAUGUCGGAUUAGCUAGUUGGCGGGGUAAAGGCCCACCAAGGCGACGAUCCGUAGCUGGUCUGAGAGGAUGAUCAGCCACACUGGAACUGAGACACGGUCCAGACUCCUACGGGAGGCAGCAGUGGGGAAUAUUGGACAAUGGGCGCAAGCCUGAUCCAGCCAUACCGCGUGGGUGAAGAAGGCCUUCGGGUUGUAAAGCCCUUUUGUUGGGAAAGAAAAGCAGCAGGUUAAUACCCCGCUGUUCUGACGGUACCCAAAGAAUAAGCACCGGCUAACUUCGUG